GACGAACGCUGGCGGCGUGCUUAACACAUGCAAGUCGAACGGUAAGGCCCUUCGGGAUACACGAGUGGCGAACGGGUGAGUAACACGUGGGUGAUCUGCCCUGCACUUCGGGAUAAGCCUGGGAAACUGGGUCUAAUACCGGAUAGGACUCCGGACUGCAUGGUCUGGGGUGGAAAGCUUUUGCGGUGUGGGAUGGGCCCGCGGCCUAUCAGCUUGUUGGUGGGGUGAUGGCCUACCAAGGCGACGACGGGUAGCCGGCCUGAGAGGGUGACCGGGCACACUGGGACUGGAAUACGGCACAGACUCCUACGGGAGGCAGCAGUGGGGAAUAUUGCACAAUGGGCGCAAGCCUGAUGCAGCGACGCCGCGUGAGGGAUGACGGCCUUCGGGUUGUAAACCUCUUUCAGCAUCGACGAAGCGAAAGUGACGGUAGGUGCAGAAGAAGGACCGGCCAACUACGUGCCAGCCGCCGCCGUAA
This 478-nucleotide ribosomal RNA is filed under the name uncultured bacterium. RNAcentral's name for it is "partial 16S ribosomal RNA". It matches the Rfam family "Bacterial small subunit ribosomal RNA", at positions 28 to 523 of the family's 1533-position model. The record is from RNAcentral.